Molecule: long non-coding RNA, 1119 nt
Organism: Ostrea edulis (European flat oyster)
Lineage: Eukaryota; Metazoa; Mollusca; Bivalvia; Ostreida; Ostreidae
Exons: 2
Source: RefSeq, a predicted model, not a curated record
CUGAAUUUGAAUUCACUAGUAAUAUAGUUUCAAGCUAUUUGUAAUGCUGAUCAAAACAAAUAAUCUUGACGAGUUAUUUUAUUUCAUUUCUUAGUAUGUAAUCAACAAUAUAAAGUAAUUCAGAUAAGUUCGGAAGCCCAGGCCAAGUCUAUGGUGUACCAAUAUCUUAGACAUCCCUCGCAUGAAAUUGACGGACACCCCGCUCUCCAUGCGCUGGUUCUCCCGGUUUUGUUUCAAUUUCUUUCAUUUGCCUUUGAUGGAGUUCACCUUGUUUACCUUGUUUUGUUCAUAUCAAAAGAAUAGUUUCUGGAAUAUAUGAUUUAAAUAUCUUCAAAAUGAGAUAAGAUCUUUAUAUAACAAGGAUACAUACAAUGUACAUACAAUGUAUAUACCAAAGAUUACUCAGGUUACCCAGCUCACCUAAGAUUACCCAUGAAAGCCCAAAAGGUUAUUUCCGGCGGGGUCCUUUCAAUACAUGGAUGUUGGCAUUAGGGGUAAUUAUUUUAGAGGAAACCUACAUUUUCGUGUUGGACACCACUACAUCUUCUCAUAUUAUCACCACUAUCGAUCAUGGUGAGAAGCGAGGGGCACUACCUCUGCACUACCAAAACAGAAUGUGAUUUUUAAAUGAGUGUAUAUGAUGAAAGUCAUAAUAUAUAGGAAAUACGAAAAUUUUCUUGUGAUAAAAACUGUAUGUCUAAAAAAUGGACCAUUUUUUCUUAAAGAGGAAUAGUAUUGCUGAAAGGUGAAGAUAACGAAAAGUGAUCAACCUCACAACUUCAGUAAGCAAUACAAAAUAAAGUGUUGGGCAAACACGGACCCCUGGACAUAUCAGAGGCGAGAUCAGGUGCCUAAGAGGAGUAAGAAUCCCGUGUCGACUGGUCACAUCCACCGUGAGCCCUAUAUCCUUAUCAGGAUUCUCAGUCGCACCAAUUUCCACCUCACUUUCCAUGAUGUCAGGAGCUUCGUCGGGGGAUAUCCCACAUCUGAGCCAUGUCUGAAACAUGAACAUCCAUGAAUUAUCAAUUUUGUGUGUAUAUAUUUUGCACUUUAAAUGAUUAUAAGUGUUUGUCAUUAAAUAUGGUUUUAAUAGAUAAGAUGUAAAGUGACGUUUAAUAA